This is a long non-coding RNA of Sphaeramia orbicularis (orbiculate cardinalfish), 375 nucleotides long. RefSeq lists it as uncharacterized. The transcript is spliced from 4 exons. The record is from RefSeq and is a predicted model, not a curated record. Lineage: Eukaryota; Metazoa; Chordata; Actinopteri; Kurtiformes; Apogonidae.
CUUGGCGUGGGGGGGGCCCACGGGGGGGGCCACUGAUCAGCCUUGGCGGAGGUCUGCGCUCUCCGACUGCUUCUAGUUAAAUAAAUGUUCAACAAAUAACUGAAACACCAUGUUUUUCUCAUGUUGAAUUCAUUUACAUUCAUGCAGUCAACUUGUGUGGCCAGUAGGGGAGAGUGGGGUAAAUUGUGCCAGUUUUUACUCAGAGUGACUUUAAAGUGAGGUCAUGACAGUAAUGCCUCCAACUUAAGUAUGGUAAGUUCAGAUAUUUAAUGCCUCCAACUUAAGUUUGUACAUAUAUUUCAGGAUGUGGUGUAUCCCUGGGAAUAAUAACUUUGGAUCUGAAAUAAACUGUUUAAGAAAUAUAACUUUUGGGAA